Aethalodelphis obliquidens (Pacific white-sided dolphin) is the source of this 1392-nucleotide long non-coding RNA. RefSeq lists it as uncharacterized. The record is from RefSeq and is a predicted model, not a curated record. Lineage: Eukaryota; Metazoa; Chordata; Mammalia; Artiodactyla; Delphinidae. The transcript has 3 exons.
UCCCCAAGCCUCGGUUUUCUCAUCUGGAGAAUGGGGUUAAUAAUAAUCUUUACCUCAUAGGAUUAGUAUGAGGACUAGACAGUAUUACGUGAAGUGCUCAGCUCAGAAUUAAUACGUACCCAAUAAAUAUUUGCUCUUAUUAUUGCUAUCACAGUAUGACCAUGAGUAAGUUAUCUAAUCACUCAGAGGCUCACCUGUACAAUUGGAAUAGUUAUAUCUGUCUCAUAAAGAUGGGAGGAACAGAUGUAAUAAUGUACCUAACGGACAUGAUACACAGUAGAUUCUCAUGAAGGGAGCUAUUUCAUUAUUUCCCCAAAUUAGCCUUCAUGCUGGAGAGCCUUUACUGGCUGAGGGCCUUCCGUGGUCAGCUUCAUGCCUUCCACUCGCUGCCCAAGUUGAACCACAUUCCCCACAGAAUUGACAGGUUUCCAGAGUGGAUUCUCUUCCAGGUAUCACCAUGCAAUCCAAUCCCCACCCGAAUGGGGCCUACGUAAUUGCUUCGCACACAGACAUCCCUCCCAGGGCUCCAGUGGCAGCCUGGCCUGUGAGGCCACUGUAUUUGAUUUUUGUAGGUCAACAAACAAACAUUUGAAAUUAAAUAAGCCUGUUAGUCAUGGCAGGUUCAGGUUGCUGUAAUUAGCUUCUGUCUGGCCUGCUGUAGCAGCAGCAGGCCCGUGCUUCUCACUGCCUGUACAGCAAGAAUACACAGUUCCCAGAGCUCUGCGGGUGCUGUGGCUGGAAGCACUUGAUGCUGAUGCUUCAGGACAGAUGCUGGCAAACGCCUCUUCCUGGGUCGGCAGUGGUGGUUCUCAAAUGUGGCAUUUAAUUCUGCGGUCCACCGGACAUCCUGAAUGGUGUUCUUCUAAAAGAGGUUAUAUGAGCAGGUGCUACGGGCCAGCCAUCGUGUCAGGUGUUUUACAUCCUGUUUAAUCUUCACAACAAUCCUUUGAGGCACAAUGAUUACUCCAGAGACUUGAGGAGCUUCAAGACAACUGAAUGCAAGAUAAGAAAGGAGAUAGCUUGGGGAAGAUAGACUGCUUAUCCCUACUGGGACUCUUCUGGAAGGCACAUUAUUGACUUCAAGGCAAGAGGCUAUGAAAGUGUGCCUUUCCUUAAGACAGUAAGCUCUCUGUUUUCUGAAGUGAAUGGAAAAAAAGGGGCAUUUUGGUUCCCUAUAUCAGUUUCCAGAAAUGAGUAUAUUGUACAAUGUACUUGAAUCUACAAUGCUACCGAAUAUAACUUAUUGUUACUCAGAUGAUUCAGAAGACCCUCUGGGAUCUCAUUAAGAUAAACAGCAAAUAUUUUGUGCUGCAGCUGUAUGGACAAGCCAUUUCCCAGUGACUUCUAGCAAUGAGUCAGAAAAAUAAAAAUAAACGCCUUUCUGUAUUGUCA